Molecule: RNA transcript, 4548 nt
Organism: Odobenus rosmarus divergens (Pacific walrus)
Lineage: Eukaryota; Metazoa; Chordata; Mammalia; Carnivora; Odobenidae
Exons: 13
Source: RefSeq, a predicted model, not a curated record
AUGGCGGCGGCGUGGAUGGACCCUGCGCAGAUAUCUGUGACCUUCGAUGAUGUGGCCGUGACUUUUACCCAGGAGGAGUGGGGGCAGCUGGACCCGGCCCAGAGGACCCUGUACCAGGAGGUGAUGCUGGAAAACUGUGGCCUUCUGGUGUCUCUCGGGUGUCCUGUUCCUAGACCUGAGCUGAUCUACCAGCUGGAGCACGGGCAGGAGCUGUGGACGGUGAAGAGAGACCUGUCUCAAAGCGCCUAUCCAGGUGACAAAGGAAAACUCAAGACCACAGAAUCUACUGCUAGUGAGCCAGCCCUGUCUGAGGGAGUCUCCUUCCAGGAACAAUUAACACAAGGAGUUCCAGGGAUCUCCCAGGUGGGCCGAACUAAGGAUCAGGAUGGGUCAUUGGAAAUGCAGGAGGGACACUUGAUGCCAGAGAUAGACCCCCAGAAGGAGAAACUCCCUGGGAAAUCAAGCUCUGAACAUGGCAACAUAGGGACAACUGAUAAUGUGUGUUCAGGGAUUGUAAAGGAGCCAGUCCCUUUGGGAAGUGCUGUCCAUGACCAUGACUCAUGUGAGUCAGGUAAAGAUUCUGUGAUUCAGGAAGAAGAAAAUAUCUUUAAAUGCAAUGAAUGUGGGAAAGUUUUUAACAAGAAACGCCUCCUUGCUCGACAUGAGAGGAUUCACUCUGGAGUGAAGCCCUAUGAAUGUACCGAGUGUGGGAAAACUUUUAGUAAAAGCACUUAUCUCCUUCAACACCACAUGGUCCACACAGGGGAGAAGCCCUAUAAGUGUAUGGAGUGUGGGAAGGCCUUCAACCGUAAGUCACACCUUACACAGCACCAGCGGAUUCACAGUGGAGAGAAGCCUUAUAAGUGCAAUGAAUGUGGAAAGGCCUUUACCCAUCGCUCCACUUUUGUCUUGCAUAACAGGAGCCACACUGGAGAAAAACCCUUUGUGUGCAAAGAAUGUGGAAAAGCCUUCCGAGAUAGGCCGGGUUUCAUUCGUCACUACAUCAUCCACAGUGGCGAGAAUCCCUAUGAAUGCUUUGAGUGUGGCAAGGUAUUUAAACACAGGUCAUACCUCAUGUGGCACCAGCAGACUCACACUGGGGAGAAGCCCUAUGAGUGCAGUGAGUGUGGGAAAGCCUUCUGUGAGAGUGCAGCCCUCAUUCACCACUACGUCAUCCACACUGGGGAGAAGCCCUUUGAGUGCCUAGAGUGUGGGAAGGCCUUCAACCACAGGUCAUACCUCAAGAGGCACCAGAGGAUUCACACUGGGGAGAAACCCUAUGUGUGCAGCGAGUGUGGAAAGGCCUUCACCCACUGCUCUACUUUCAUCUUGCAUAAAAGGGCCCACACUGGAGAAAAACCUUUUGAGUGCAAAGAAUGUGGGAAAGCCUUUAGCAAUCGUGCAGACCUCAUUCGACACUUCAGCAUCCACACUGGAGAGAAGCCCUAUGAGUGCAUGGAGUGCGGGAAGGCCUUCAACCGCCGUUCAGGGCUCACAAGGCACCAGCGGAUUCACAGUGGAGAGAAGCCCUAUGAAUGCGUCGAGUGUGGGAAAACCUUCUGUUGGAGCACAAACCUCAUUCGACACUCUAUCAUCCACACUGGAGAGAAGCCUUAUGAGUGCAGUGAGUGUGGAAAAGCCUUCAGUCGCAGCUCAUCCCUCACUCAGCAUCAGAGGAUUCAUACUGGGAGAAACCCUGUCAGUGUAACAGAAGUGGGAAGACCCUUCACAAGUGGGCAGUCCUCAGUCAACCUCCAAGAGCUCCUACUGGGGAAAGACUUCUUGAAUGUAACCACUGAGGAAACAUCUUACUCAGAAUCUGAUCAUUCAUACCAAAGAGAAACCCCUCAGCAAGCAUCUGCUAACAAUUCCCGAAAUUUCCGCAUCCACGCACGACCCCUCUGCCGGCGCUCAGACACAGGUGGAAGUGCCCACGUGAAACAGACGCUCGAAACUGCCCAUGCUCCAGACUGGAGUCCCGACCUCCCCCCAGCCUCGCUCAGGGGCGGCCUCCCCAGCUCAGAGGCUCGCACACCGCUCCUCGGGCUCCCGGGGCCGCCUCCACGCGUCAAGGCCCCGCAGCACGUGGCGCUGGACCAGAGGCGGCCCAAGAGGGGCCGUGUGGUGCGCGUGCGCCGCGUCGCAGCGGGCUUCCAGCGUCCGGUGUCGGCGGGCACAUGCCCGCUCGAGCGUCCGUCUUCGCGGCAGGACGAGCGCCAGGACCCUGACACCCGUCCCUCUUCCUCCGUAACGGGGUGUCACGUGAGCGCCCGCUGGGGCGCGGGUCGCUGUCCCCGCAGCCCUGACUCGACGCCCUGGGCCUCGGGCGCAUCUCACACUGGGGAACUCAGGCUCGGAGUGCGACAGUCAGCCAAGGUCACCCCGCUCUGGGCAGCGAACGGGUGCAGUCGGCUGAAUCCUGCAGGCCCCUCGGCCGCUGCCCCUCCGGGUCCUGCUCUGUGCACAGGGUCCUAUGAUGGCGGCGGCGUGGAUGGACCCGGUGCGGCCAUGACAGACACUGUGGCAAAGGCUGGUCUCAUGGCCACAGCCUGCGUUGUCCUCAGUAACUUCUGUGUUCUGGGCCUGAAGUAUUCUUUCCUCAGGGUAGUCUCUGAGGAACAGAAGGCAAUGGGACCUGAUCCAGGCCCUGCCACUUCCCAAGCAGGUGCCACCACCUCAGGUGAUCGUCCUGUGAGACCAACACACUGCCUGUGUUUGACUUUUCAGAUGCCUGUGACCUUCGAAGAUGUGGCCGUGACUUUUACCCAGGAGGAGUGGGGGCAGCUGGACCCGGCCCAGAGGACCCUGUACCAGGAGGUGAUGCUGGAGACCUGUGGGCUCCUCGUCUCUCUGGGCUGUCCUUUGCCCAAACCAGAGCUGUUCUACCCAUUGGAUCACAGCCCAGAGUUACACACGUUGAAGAGAGGCCUCUCCCCUAACUCCUGCCCAGGUGACAGUACAAAACCCGGGACCACAGAGCUUUCCCUUUCUCACCUUGCCUUAUCUGAGGAAGUCUCACCACAGGAACAACUGACUCAGCAAGCUCUGGGGGACUCCCAGCUGGAGCAAGGCAAAAAUCAGGAUAGGCCAUCAGAAAUGCUGGAAAGCCAGUUGAAACCAGGGAUAGACCCCCAAAUGGAGAAGCUCCCUGGGAACAUGAAGCCUGAACAUGAUGGUUUAGGGACAGGUGAUGGUGUACACUCAAGGACUGUACGGGAGCUGAUCCCUCCAGGACGUGUUCUCCACAAAUAUGACUCACAGGGACUACUGAAAGAUCCCUUGAUUCAUAAAGGAAAACAUCCCCAUCAGUGUGAGGAAUGUGGGAAAGUGUUUACCAAGAAUUGCUUUCUUGUGCGACAUGAACAGAUUCACUCUGGAGCGAAGCCCUAUGAAUGCACUGAGUGUGGGAAAACUUUUAGCAAGAGCACACACCUCCUCCAGCACCACAUGAUCCACACAGGGGAGCGACCCUAUGAGUGCAUGGAAUGUGGGAAGGCUUUCAACCGCAGGUCACACCUCACAAGACACCAGCGGAUUCACACUGGAGAGAAGCCUUAUAAGUGCAGUGAAUGUGGAAAGGCCUUUACCCACCGCUCCAAUUUAGUCUUGCAUAACAGAAGCCACACUGGAGAAAAACCCUUUGUGUGCAAAGAAUGUGGGAAAGCCUUCCGUGAUAGGACUGGUUUCCUUCGACACUACAUCAUCCACACGGGAGAGAAGCCCUUUGAGUGCAUAGAGUGUGGGAAGGCCUUCAACCGCAGGUCCCACCUCACGUGGCACCAGCAGAUUCACACUGGAGUGAGACCGUUUGAAUGCAGUGAAUGUGGGAAAGCCUUUUGCGACAGCACGGAUCUCAUUCAGCACUAUGUCAUCCACACAGGAGAGAAGCCAUACAAGUGCCUCGAGUGUGGGAAGGCCUUCUACCGCCGGUCACACCUCAAGCAGCACCAGCGGAGUCACACUGGGGAGAAGCCCUAUGUGUGCAGUGAGUGUGGAAAGGCCUUCACCCACUGCUCUACUUUCAUCUUGCACAAAAGGGCCCACACUGGAGAAAAACCCUAUGAAUGCAAAGAAUGUGGGAAAGCCUUUAGCAAUCGAUCAGACCUCAUCCGACACUUCAGCAUCCACACUGAGGAGAAGCCCUAUGAGUGCACGGAGUGUGGGAAGGCCUUCAACCGCCGUUCAGGGCUCACAAGGCACCAGCGGAUUCACAGUGGAGAGAAGCCCUAUGAAUGCAGGGAGUGUGGGAAAUCCUUUUGCUGGAGCACAAGCCUUAUCCGACACUCCGUUAUCCAUACUGGAGAGAAGCCUUAUGAGUGCAGUGAGUGUGGAAAAGCCUUCAGUCGCAGCUCAUCCCUCACUCAGCAUCAGAGGAUUCAUACUGGGAGAAACCCUGUCAGUGUAACAGAAGUGGGAAGACCCUUCACAAAUGAGCAGCCAUCAGUCAUCCUCUAAGAGCUCCUACUGGGGAAAGACUUCUUGAAUGUAACCACUGAGGAAACAUCUUACUCAGAAUCUGAUCAUUCAUACCAAAGAGAAACCCCUUAG